GGAGAUAUAGCUCAGUGGUAGAGUACCUGCUGAACAUGCAUGAGAUCCUGGGCUCAAUCCCCAAUACUGCA
RNAcentral lists this transfer RNA (71 nucleotides) under Marmota monax (woodchuck). RNAcentral's name for it is "tRNA.Val". The record is from RNAcentral. Lineage: Eukaryota; Metazoa; Chordata; Mammalia; Rodentia; Sciuridae.